CGACGAUUGAGCUUCCUUGCAUGUCGUGUCCACAUUCAAUAAACCAGUUGUUUUGUGUGAUUUACAUUCAUCCACGUCGAUGGAUCAUCAAAAUUUGAUAGCGGAGGGUGAUAAUGUCAUACUGAAGAAAGAUAAAACCUUGAGAGUGUACAGAGCUCUUAAAAAAGAGAAAGCGGUUCUGGAGAAAAGGCAUUUUUCUCUUGCCCCCGUCAUUGGUCAUCCCUAUGGUUCAACAUGGGAGCUUCAGGGAAACAAUCUUGUACAAGUUCUUGAGAAGACAACAUCCCAAGACUUGGCUCAACAGAUAGAUAAAGGAGGUGCCGAUAAUAGAGGUAUAUUUGCUGAUGACUCUUCCCAAAAGCUUGAUAAAGAUGAUAUCAUGGAUCUCAAGGGACAAGGGAAGAGUGGACAGGAGAUAAUUGACCAAUUGAUUGAGAAUAGCUCUUCCUUCAAUGAGAGAACUGUAUAUUCCAAAGCAAAGUACCUCAAAAAGAAAAGAAACAAGCAUAUCCUAAGAUUUGUGGUACUUCGGCCCUGUACAAGACUCAUGUGCGAGAUGUAUUUCAACAGAGCACCAUCAAAAGUCAUACAAAUCCGCAUUGACACAAUGGCCCAGCUCCUGACAGCCGCCAAUGUUCAAUCUGGAAUGAAAGUGAUGGUUUUAGAACACUGUCAUGGUCUGCUGGUGGCAGCCGUCAUGGAAAGACUUGGAGGUAAAGGGACAGUUGUUCAUUUUCAUUCUGAAGACGGGCCUAUGAAUUCCGCACUCCAAGCUUUCAACUUUCCACCAGAAAGCAAAGAAAUGAUAAGGCCAUUCAAUCUCAGAGAUGUCCAUGAAAAACUCAUCCUAAAGAAACCAGUCGAGACGAUUAGUGCAGACUCUAAAGAUUUAAAUACAAGCCAGAAAGAAGAUGAAGUGGCAAACAAAGGAUGUGAUCUUUCAGAGGAACCAGUUGCUAUGGAAACAGACUCAAACGAUAACCCAGAUGUUGUCGCUCGUCAAACUAAUGCUGCAGAAUCAUCAGCCACACCAGAGAAAUCUAAGGACCUUACCGCCAGCGAGACAGAAAACAAUGUAACCGAAAAAGAAUGUGAUCAUUUAAAAGAACCUGUUGCCUUGGUAACAGACUCUAGCAAAAAUGGUUUAUCAGAUUCUGUUACUGGUGAGAAUGAUGCAGCAAUAGCCAAACCAGAGGAAGGAAAUGGAGUUGUGUCAGUAGAUGCAGAAGAUGGCAUCACUGGAACCAGUGAAAAGGUUUCCAUAGCAACAGAUGCAGCUGAUAAGCAAGAUGAGCAAACAUCAAGUGUUACUCUAUUACCUACAGACAAAGCACAGAAGAGAACAGCCAGGUUUAUGAAAUUUCUGGAUUCAGACGCCGAGACGAGAAGAGAAAGAAAAAGGCAGAAGCUUGAUCAAAUGGCCAAAACAACCGAGCUGCUGCUGGAGAAAAAUAUGGAUACGUUAUUGAUUGCAACAAAGUUCCACCCUGCCCCUAUUCUUCUAGCGCUCAUUGACCAUCUAGGUUUAUCAAGGCCUUUUGCUGUCUUCUCUCCCUAUAAAGAGGCUCUUGUAGAAUGUUAUGUGAAGCUUCGUGAGAUGGGAGGAGUUAUCAAUCUCAGCAUAACAGAAACAUGGCAUAGAGAAUACCAAGUACUACCAGACAGGACACACCCCAUGAUUACAAUGAACCAUGCAGGAGGAUACAUACUCACUGGGAUGCAUGUAGGAAAGUGAGAGAAGACCUCAGUCAAGACUGCAAGCAAAGCCUCCUUUUGAUGCGAUGCAGCUAAGAAAACUUAGCAAUACUUUUCAUCUUUUUUUAGACAUGAUGAGACAAAUAGCCCCAGUUUAUGAAGGUGCAUUAUUUGCUUCAAGUUUUAAGAAUUGACCAAAGUUGCAUUGAAAAUGAUAGUAGCAGGCUUUCGCAAAUGGAGAUGCGUGCCUCGAGUGCGUGGAGGUCAGUCAACUGUACACAAACUUCCCAUCUCGGCCAAUUCUUAGUUUUGCAUUUGUGUAUACAGAAAUGCCAGUUUGUUUACAGAAGUUACAGCAUAAUAACACAUGAACUUUGCUAGCGCUAUGCAUGUAUUUUUAUGCAUGCCAUGCAUGAAUCUUUUUACUUGUUUACCACUCAUGAAUGGAAUUGGCCCCCCCCCCAGGUCCAUGCCGAGGUAUCGUGGCCGAAUUGAAUACUAGUUUGACUCAGUACUGUUGUACAUUUCGGCGGUAUGGGGGAAUUUCUUGAGAUUGGUUUACCCCCUGCUGAGAUUUUUCCGGAUGAUCCAUUCCAUCCUGUUUGCGAAAGCCAACUAUUUUUUUGUGUGUCAUAGUUGGUUUUGUUAUACCAUGUCAGUUGCGGUAAAAAUCAUGAGCCACAACCCGUGAGAUAUUGUUUGUCUAUGUUAAUGGGGACAGAGCCUGUUUGCUGUAUUAUUUUAAAGACUUUAUUCCUGAUGCAAUUUUUUUUAUAUGGGCGACAAACAAAAUCCUUCCUCUGCAGCCUUUGUACACCUCAUUUUCAAUUGACUUUGUACACUAAUAUAGGUGAGCAUUGUUGAUUAGCUAUGUUGUGUCAUGUCUGAAUGAUCCUCAAAUCUGCAUUUAAAGGGGUAAUUAAUCUGACUAGAGUAUCCAAGCACUUCAUGGCAAGGUUGGAAUAGAGCUUAAUGUACACAACUUAUUUUUAACAACUUUGACUCUUUUUUAAACAUAUAUAUUGCUUAAACUUGGUUGGUAUUUUUUAUUCAAAUGAUAGAUUCAACUCAAAUUUUCUCUCAUUAAUCCUACAAGACCUGUCAUACUGGGUUUUUUCAAUAUAUUUGAGAAAUAAUUUCCAUGAAUAUUGCACUAAAUUUCAGGAUUGAUUGAUUUUGUUUGUGUGAAUCAAUGCCCAGUUUCCUCUGAUUAGCCUUUCAAGAUCAUGCACUAUUUACCAACAGUUUAUACCACCAUUAGUUAUUCUGAUUAAAGUUCUAGAACCAGUUUUGAUCCAAUGUUGAAGAGGAUUGAAUACCUAGUAACAAGUACAUUUCUUGUUCGAUUUUAUUACUGAUAUUAUUACCCCGGCUAAAGCCGGGGUAAUGAUAGCAGUGCUUUGUAUCCUCAGGCAAAAGGCGCUUUAUAAAUGCAGCUAUUAUUAGUAUUAUUCUCUGGUUUAUCAUACAAGGCUGUGCACAACACUACAUAUUCAGUAAAUUUGUUGUGAUUGGGAUUUGAAUAGCAGAAUGAUAACUUUCAAGUUUUUCAGAUUUAAUGAAUACUCCCAUGAAUAAUUCUUCAAGUCUUUAGUGCAUAGCUGCAAUUAUGACCGAAAAUUCUGGACAUCCAGUUCUAUUUCUUGUUCAGGUACAAUGUUACUUUAAUAGUGAACAUGUUUUGUACAAAAAAGCCAACAUAAGACCUUUCAUUAAGAGAUUUCUUUAUCUGAAAUGGAGUGUUAGAGAUUUUUACAAUAUAUUAUGGGUAUAAAAAAAAAAAUUAAUUUCAAUGUAAUUUAUCCUAAAAGAAAAACUUGCAUAAGCCUACAUUUUAACAAACUUUUUAUAAGAUUUGAAAUUUUUAACUUUUUACUGAAACAUAGAGUAAAACCAGAUUCUUGAAUAAAUUCAGAUAUAUACAAUACCAAAGCCCUAAGGUUUGGUACAUAUACAAACUGGUAUUUCUUAUUGUCUGCAUGAAAUGGUUGCAUUUAUUUAGCAAAGAGUGGCUCAUAAAGAAACAGAACACUAUUUGAAUUUAAUCAAGAGUUGGAACUGGAGAUUUUAUAAUUCGUUUUUUAAAAGUAAUUUUUGUGUUUUAUAUAUUCAUGACUGAAAAAAUGCAUUCCUAAAGGGAAAUUGGUAAAAAUGCAUUAAAAAGAAAUUUUGACAAAUCCUCUUAUUGACUAAAUAUAACUCGGGAACAAAGAGCACAAGGAAAUUACAAGGCUGUGUUUUUAUGUCAUGUUCAGUUUAUUAAUUUAUUUUCGUAUUGAUUCAGUUUUCAUCAGGUAAGUGAAGUUGAAAUACCCAGGCCCCAUUUUAUAAAAUCUUGCUACGAUAGCAGCUCUUUCUAGAAUGUCAACUUUCAUUGGAAGAGCCAACCAGGAAGUAUGGUUUUAAUUGUUGUCAUGGUAGUUGACAUUCCAGUAAGACUUGCUAUCAAAUCAACUUUUUUAUGAGCCCAAAACAACUUUUAUAUUGACAAAAAGUAGAAUAAAUUGAGUUAUCACAAUUAUCUGUUCACCUUAAUCAAAUUGGACUGGCAAGUCCAUUAUUGUUAAAUGUAGUUUUAAAAAUUAAUUUAGAUUUUAUGAGAACUUGUUCGUUUUUCAAGGACAUGUGUAUUGGCUAUGGAUAAGAUUUGUAUUGGACCCUCAUUUUUUUUAUUCAAAAUUCAAUUUUUAUUCAUUCCAAGCAAAAGAGUAGUUAAAAAUUUUCAAUUACUGAGUGUCUUUUCUAAAUCAUAACAAACAUGCAAAAUGUUGAAGAUCAGGCUCUAUCAGAGUUAUUAAGUAAUACUGAUAGGACAAAGCAGGAUGUACCUUUUGUUCCCAUGUACCUAGAGAAGAUGCAAAGAACUGGGUGACCUGCAGAAAAAUUGUACAUGUGUUAACUGCAUUUGUCAGUAUUAAAAGGACUGCUAUUUUAUGGAAAA
RNAcentral lists this unclassified non-coding RNA (4636 nucleotides) under Lytechinus variegatus (green sea urchin). RNAcentral describes it as "tRNA (adenine(58)-N(1))-methyltransferase non- catalytic subunit TRM6-like, transcript variant X1". The record is from RNAcentral. Lineage: Eukaryota; Metazoa; Echinodermata; Echinoidea; Temnopleuroida; Toxopneustidae.